This 253-nucleotide ribosomal RNA is filed under the name uncultured bacterium. RNAcentral's name for it is "partial 16S ribosomal RNA". It matches the Rfam family "Bacterial small subunit ribosomal RNA", at positions 524 to 776 of the family's 1533-position model. The record is from RNAcentral.
GACGGAGGUGGCAAGCGUUGCUCGGAUUCAUUGGGUGUAAAGGGUCUGUAGGCGGUUCUGUAAGUCAGAUGUGAAAUCCCACCGCUCAACGGUGGAACUGCAUUUGAAACUGCAGGACUUGAGUGCGGUAGAGGUGAGGGGAAUUCCCGGUGUAAGGGUGAAAUCUGUAGAGAUCGGGAGGAACACCAGUGGCGAAGGCGCCUCACUGGGCCGCAACUGACGCUGAGCGACGAAAGCUAGGGGAGCAAACAGG